RNAcentral lists this long non-coding RNA (1622 nucleotides) under Gallus gallus (chicken). The record is from RNAcentral. Lineage: Eukaryota; Metazoa; Chordata; Aves; Galliformes; Phasianidae.
UGGGACUUACAGCGUGUUGAGGUUCUUCAGCCUCCUGAAGGCCCCGGGUUGUAUCUCCCUGAUGUGGUUGAAACGUAAAUCUAGUAUGCUCGUCUGAGGUGGGAUGUCAGGGAUGGUUUCCAACAUCAGAUGCAUGCAUCUUACUGUAGUCCUGAAGCACAGGCAGCGAGGAGGGCAGGAACGGGAGGAAGCAGGCAGGAGGAGAAAGCACAAAAAGCCCAGAAGAGCUGAAGGUUUGAGCAGCAUGGUGUUGCUGGAGUGUAUUUUCCUCAAUUCUGAGCUGCAGGGAGCUGACAAAAAAAAGUUUCCCAGCCCUGAGGUCCAGGAGGAGGGGACUCAUCAGCAUGUGUUUGCAAUUAAAUUAAGGCAGUUUGACAGUCCAACCGCCCACCCUCUCUGCCAUUAUGUACAUCGCUGCAGAUCAGACUGUUCCCACCCCUCUUUAAUUGCAGCGUUGAAAUAUUAAGUCUUCAUUUUUUAUUUAUUCUUGCCUUGUUACUUCUUUUGAACAGCAGGUUAACUCCUUGGGCGUUUAUCUGAAAGCACACAAUGCAUCUUUAUGGACAAUGACCAAAAAAACAUCACUGGGAUUCUGACAGCCUGGAGUCAAGCUUUUAAGUGAGAAUUUCUGCUUUAACACAGACUGCAAACUAAGGAUGGCAUCUCAUCUAACAGCCUCUGUCAGCACACAGUACAACUUUGGGGAUAGUUAUUGCAUGCGUGUAUAACAUCUGCUGAAAUGCAUUUCCCAUCACUUCUUGGAACUUUGAACGCUACUGAUCAGAGAUUUUAAAAGGGAGACCACUAACAAAGAUAAAUAACCAGGAAAUAAAGACCAAAAAUCCCCUGACUGGAUGCAUUUUUGUCAUGCUAUAGGAAACUGAUCAGAUAUUAACUCAAAGACCUUUUAGUCAAUGCAGUUUCACAUCACAAAGCCGCAACUGUGGGAAAUGCAGGGGCUUUGGAAAAACAAAGGGGCAGCUGAGGGGUGCAGAGGGAGAGAAUCAAACCAACCACAUUUGAACUGCAGAAACCCCUGCAGAAAACACAGACCACAACUCGUUCAGCUCUUUGGAGGAUUAAAAAAAAAUGCAAAAAAAAGGAAGACGUGCCCAGUUUGAUUUAUCACUCUUAUUAUAAAGAUGCUUAAAAUGAAAAUAGCUUUAAGGUUACAGUCAUUACUGUGUAUGUUUUUAUGUGUGUAUUUUAAACAGACAAGUGUGAAGCAUUAAGACUCCACGGGAAGCAUCACAUCAUUCCACGUUACCUGUGCGAUCAACCCAAAGCUCCCCAUGGACUUGCAGAUCUGCUUUGUGCUAUACAUUGCAACACAGCUAACAUGGGGAAACAGUACUUCCCCUGGAUGGCACUGCAACCUCCCCAGCUUGCUUUCCCCCUCAGAUACUUUGUCACUUGAGCACUUGGAGUAGAAGUGGUAGGUCUGGAUUCUUUUUGUAGUUGUAUGUGGUUACUUUUUGCCAGCCUCCCCAUCUCAAUGACCUUGUAAAGCAAGGUUUAUACAAUACCUUCCAUAAUAUAUUAAAGAUCAUACUUCUCUUCACUCAGAAGUCUUCCAGGUGUUUAGCCUUGUGUGUCAACAGAAACCUUGGACAAAUUACCAU